UAUUCAAAAUCAAUCUAUAGCUCAUUUCCUGUUUAUGUCUCAGCAUUACAUGGGAAUUGUGGGUAAUAAUGUGUUCCUUCUGUGAAGGAGUCAUGUUUUCCACGUGGGGCAUGAAACUCCUCAUGGAAUUGGGCCAAAUCCAUUUAUAUACUGUAAUUGGUAUGAUUCAAGGAAAUGGUUGUCAUUUCAUGGCUCUUAGUCUGAUUUACCACCCUGUUUUCUCUGAGAAACCUACACAGAAAAACAGACCAAUCACCUUCACAUGACCUUGGGUCUUUCAGGAACUGGCCAAUCUGUGGAAUAAAAUAGAGUGAUGGUCCAGGGCACUCCGUCAACAGAACCUCCACCUAUGUUCCCAGCUUGACCUGAUGUUUCUGAAGAAGGUUGAGGUUGGAUAAAUCCAGAUGGAGGUUCGAGAAAUGGCAGGGCUAAUGGCCUAUAUGUACCCAAUGGAGACAACCUCUCUGCCAGACUGCUUUCUAGAGCCAGUACCGUUGGUGUCUGCCUGCCUAUCCUCCUACUUACUGGCUCUGCUACUUGUGGUGUCGUCUGAAUGUACAUUAGCAGUGACCUUCGAGAAAGGUGUAGGAAAAACGAAUGAUGUAGCUAUAUGUAUUUUUCACAUAUUCUAUGCAGUAUGAGAUUACAUUUACUUAAUUGGGAGAAAAAAAAAAGAAAAAACAUCCCACUGGUCACACACUGUUUGAAUUGUAUUUUAAUUUACCUCUUUAUUUAGGUUGUUGGCAUGACGUUGACACAAUGACAUUGAUUCAAACAUACCAUUUUAGUAUCAACACUGAAACAAGGUCAAAUAAAAUGUCAUAUGAAUCAUGUAAAAUUCAACAAUUUCAACCACCCCAAUAUACUGUAUAUUGAAUAUAGGAUGUGGAAUUUAAAAUGCAAUUUCAACAUAUACAUAGUUCUGAUGAUUAGGUUGAAAUUAGAUUGAUGUAACAUCCUGUUAGUCAGGUUAAGAAAUUGUACAAGUUGAAGUUUUACCCAAAUGUCAAUGUUUACAACGCUGGUUAAAAUGAGAUGAAAACAGUACUGGUUGACUUUUUGCAAAUCCAAAUGUGUUAUCCACGUCAAAAUAGGUUGACAAAUGAAGUUGAAACAACGUUGAUUCAACCAGUGAGUGCCCAGUGGGAUAGCUUAAGUUUUAAAUUCAGACAAGUCUGAUAAAAAAAUAAAAUAAAAAAUAAAAAAAAAGAUUGUCAUAUACACAGAAUCUGAUAGUAUA
Oncorhynchus tshawytscha (Chinook salmon) is the source of this 1240-nucleotide long non-coding RNA. RefSeq lists it as uncharacterized. The transcript is spliced from 2 exons. NCBI's taxonomy places the organism in Eukaryota, Metazoa, Chordata, Actinopteri, Salmoniformes, Salmonidae. The record is from RefSeq and is a predicted model, not a curated record.